Molecule: ribosomal RNA, 406 nt
Filed under: uncultured bacterium
Lineage: Bacteria
Description: partial 16S ribosomal RNA
Rfam family: Bacterial small subunit ribosomal RNA
Source: RNAcentral
AUUGAACGCUGGCGGCAGGCCUAACACAUGCAAGUCGAACGAGUGGCGGACGGGAGAGUAAUGUCUGGGAAACUGCAUGAUGGAGGGGGAUAACUACUGGAAACGGUAGCUAAUACCGCAUAACAUCAUAUGUGCCCUGAGGGGUUUGGCUUGUUGGUGGGGUAUCGGCGCACCAAGGCUACGAUCCCUAGCUGGUCUGCGAGGAGGACCAGCCAAACUGGAACGUGGACACGGUCCAGACUCCUACGGGAGGAAGCAGUGGGGAAUAUUGCACAAUGGGCGCAAGCCUGAUGCAGCCAUGCCGCGGGUAUAAAGAAGGCCUUGGGGUGGAAAAGUACUUUCAGCGGGGAGGCGUUACCCGCAGAAGAAGCACCGGCUAACUCCGUGCCAGCAGCCGCGGUAAUAC